AUCAGCCCCAGUUGCAGCAAAAUGAGGAGAUUCAUUAAGAAAGGGAUUUAAAUCUCUUCAGAUGGAAAUCAUACUUCCACUCAGCGAAAGCUGGGGUCUUGAGCCUGGUGCAAGCCCCUCGUUAUUAAUGAAAAAGGCCCAGGCACACUCUGGCAGGAGGGCUGCCAUUCUGGGGAAGUGUAACAGCACGGAGCACAGAAAGGACAAAGCCCGGAGAAAGGAGAAGUUAGGACAGACCCCACAGAGCAGUCAUUAAUCAGUGCAGGCAGGGUGACAGGAGGGGGGGAGGGCUGUGCUCUGAGUGUGGGGGGCUCAUGACAUCAAGGUGGUUCACGGAGGCGCCCCCCUGGCUGUGGAGCACCUGCUCGGCCGGCGGCGUGUGCCACAUUACCAUCACAACGGCACAGCGCCUGCCCGCGCGGCUAAUUCAUCACCAGCGGAGACGCCCUCAGAGAGGCGCUGAGGCGCGUGGCAACGCCGAUCACAGAACCUGCACCGCAGCCAGAUCGGGGAGGGGAGGACCCGCCCCCUGGAGGGCCGGGGGCCCGCUGGCUUGUCUUACCACCAGAGAGUUCCAACAGGAUACAUACUGGGGCUUGACAGACUGUCCUUCACUGACAGGCUGAAGGAACACCAUCUCAGUCUUGAACAGCAGUGAAGUCAGCUCUACCGUCUGGACACCCUGUUCCAUCCCUCUUGUUCAGACAUCUGCCGGAGCCCAGCCAGCAUGGGUCACUGUCUCCAUCACAUGUUGGGUCAAAGGUCACCCCCCAGAAGACAGCACAACUUGCUCCUUUCAACUCAAAGUGCAAGAUAAGAGGCUCCACGCCGACCCUCCCCAUCCUCUACAAAUGGCUUAUCAGUACCAUGACGGAAGGCAACGAGGUACUUUAUGGGAACACAGGCGGACUUUUACUCAAUUUUAAGAUGUUUUUUUAUGCCCCCUUUAAUUAGAAUUGCCAGUCAUUGAUUGGCUGCUAAGACCCUUGUGUCAGUAUUCUGGCUGAGCCACUUGUCAAUUCACAGUGGGUUUUUUUCUCUCCUGCAGGAUCCACUGUCCACUCGUACCACACUUAGCACUUUCUCCAUCUGUCCGUCCAUUUUAUAACCACCUGAUCCAAUUCAGGGUCGCGGAGGCGCUGGAGUCUACCCCAGCGAGCAACAGACGCAAGGCAGGAUACACCCUGGAUGGGACACCAGUCCAUCACAGGGCAGACACAGACACAAACACAGAUACACACACUCGCACCAGGGCCAAUAAACCAAGACUUUGGACUGCAGAAAAAAAAAAUUGGAAAUCAGAUUACCCGGAGGAAACCCAUACAAACACAGGAAGAACAUACGUAACUCCAUGCAGAUACUGUAGCAGCCCAGGGCCCCAUCGCUGCAAGGCAGCCGUGCUAACCACCGUGACAGCCAGCACUUACUCCUUUGUAAUAAAUACAUUCUCCAGGUUAAAAAGGGAACCGAACCUAAAUGCCGCCAUGCAAAGAAGCCACAUAAGAAGCAAAUGCCUACUGUAAAAUACAGAUUUUUUUGCAAACCACAAACUAUUCCUUCUGUCGUUUAUAUCAUCACAGUACAUACUUGACCACAGAGUAUUAAUGCAAGGGCCUUUCCCGCCUCUCCUGCCCCAUAUUUAGAAAUGCAUUUCUGCAAAACGUAUCAGUUUCUUUUUAAAGUAAGGACUGGAAUCCUCCUGGGACGGUACAGUCGCUCAGGCUGGUUAAUCGACAGCGUGUUUAACCAGACAGGCUGACUUCUCGGAAGUCACAUCACACACGCGAAGAGCUGGAGCACACCUCUGAAACGCGACGCAGCACGCCUUGCAGCUCUCGCGCGCACUUCCACCCCUGCAGCCACACUGCUGCCCCGCUUCUGCGCAUCUUGUAGCCAGGCAGCUGCCAUGCGCCAGCCCCCGAGCCUUAUCUGCGCUCUGCAGAGGGUCCUGGCUUCAGAACCUUGCUGGUGCUCAUUCCGCAGUCUCUCUCACCGAGGCCAGAGGUCAACCACAGACAAUAGCAAGGGUCGCUCUCCAGAAACCCUGGCAAAGGCUUCUCCUGCAGACAUCUGCACCCACUGAGCUGCUGCGUGUGCCUCUAUUUACAUUACAAAGCAGACCCCCCUCCCUGCAGCUGAAGUUAAGAAGCAGACGCAGCCCCAGAUACACCAGAACAGACUGAAAGCAGAAGAGCACCUGGGAGGAACAGCAGUGACUAAACACAGCGCCCAUCUGACUGAAGCUGAGGUGUCUUUACCACCUGAUGAUUCAGAAAAUCGAUAACAAAAAUCCCUGAAGGAGUAAACGUGUG
This is a long non-coding RNA of Lepisosteus oculatus (spotted gar), 2312 nucleotides long. NCBI's taxonomy places the organism in Eukaryota, Metazoa, Chordata, Actinopteri, Semionotiformes, Lepisosteidae. The record is from Ensembl.